AACGCACAUUGCGCCCAUCAGUAUUCUGUUGGGCAUGCCUGUCCGAGCGUCAUUUCUACCCUCAAGCCCUGGCUGCUUGGUGUUGGGGUGCUCUACAGCCCCGCUGUAGGCCCUGAAAAUCAGUGGCGGUCUCACCGAGACGACCCGAGCGCAGUAGUCUCUCUCGCUCAGGGGUUGCCGGUGGGUUGCUGGCCGUUAAACACCCAAAAGUUUGACAGUUGACCUCGGAUCAGGUAGGAAUACCCGCUGAACUUAA
This 256-nucleotide unclassified non-coding RNA is filed under the name uncultured fungus. RNAcentral's name for it is "partial contains 5.8S ribosomal RNA, internal transcribed spacer 2, and large subunit ribosomal RNA". The record is from RNAcentral. Lineage: Eukaryota; Fungi.